This 369-nucleotide ribosomal RNA is filed under the name uncultured bacterium. RNAcentral's name for it is "bacterial SSU rRNA". It matches the Rfam family "Bacterial small subunit ribosomal RNA", at positions 47 to 412 of the family's 1533-position model. The record is from RNAcentral.
CCUAACACAUGCAAGUCGAACGGUAACAGGAAGAAGCUUGCUUCUUUGCUGACGAGUGGCGGACGGGUGAGUAAUGUCUGGGAAACUGCCUGAUGGAGGGGGAUAACUACUGGAAACGGUAGCUAAUACCGCAUAACGUCGCAAGACCAAAGAGGGGGACCUUCGGGCCUCUUGCCAUCGGAUGUGCCCAGAUGGGAUUAGCUAGUAGGUGGGGUAACGGCUCACCUAGGCGACGAUCCCUAGCUGGUCUGAGAGGAUGACCAGCCACACUGGAACUGAGACACGGUCCAGACCCCUACGGGAGGCAGCAGUGGGGAAUAUUGCACAAUGGGCGCAAGCCUGAUGCAGCCAUGCCGCGUGUAUGAAGAA